RNAcentral lists this ribosomal RNA (636 nucleotides) under Salmonella enterica. RNAcentral describes it as "partial 23S ribosomal RNA". It matches the Rfam family "Bacterial large subunit ribosomal RNA", at positions 1 to 668 of the family's 2925-position model. Lineage: Bacteria; Pseudomonadati; Pseudomonadota; Gammaproteobacteria; Enterobacterales; Enterobacteriaceae. The record is from RNAcentral.
GGGUUGUGAGGUUAAGCGACUAAGCGUACACGGUGGAUGCCCUGGCAGUCAGAGGCGAUGAAGGACGUGCUAAUCUGCGAUAAGCGCCGGUAAGGUGAUAUGAACCGUUAUAACCGGCGAUUUCCGAAUGGGGAAACCCAGUGUGACUCGUCACACUAUCAUUAACUGAAUCCAUAAGUUAAUGAGGCGAACCGGGGGAACUGAAACAUCUAAGUACCCCGAGGAAAAGAAAUCAACCGAGAUUCCCCCAGUAGCGGCGAGCGAACGGGGAGGAGCCCAGAGCCUGAAUCAGCAUGUGUGUUAGUGGAAGCGUCUGGAAAGGCGCGCGAUACAGGGUGACAGCCCCGUACACAAAAGCGCAUGUGCUGUGAGCUCGAAGAGUAGGGCGGGACACGUGGUAUCCUGUCUGAAUAUGGGGGGACCAUCCUCCAAGGCUAAAUACUCCUGACUGACCGAUAGUGAACCAGUACCGUGAGGGAAAGGCGAAAAGAACCCCGGCGAGGGGAGUGAAAAAGAACCUGAAACCGUGUACGUACAAGCAGUGGGAGCACAGGUUUACCUGUGUGACUGCGUACCUUUUGUAUAAUGGGUCAGCGACUUAUAUUCUGUAGCAAGGUUAACCGUAUAGGGGAGCCG